Long non-coding RNA from Suricata suricatta (meerkat), 760 nucleotides. RefSeq lists it as uncharacterized. The record is from RefSeq and is a predicted model, not a curated record. The transcript has 2 exons. NCBI's taxonomy places the organism in Eukaryota, Metazoa, Chordata, Mammalia, Carnivora, Herpestidae.
CUCUCGGACGCUGGGCUGUGUGAGUCGUGGAGUUGUUGCUGCAGCUUUGUGCCUACCGGAAGCCACGGGAAUGAAGCCCGUGCAGAAGUUGGCCUUACUGAGGGAUGGAGAAAGAGAAAGCAAGAUGUGCCGCCCUUCCAGAACCCGUGUCUCCAUGAAUGGCAUGGGCAUUUACCAGCCAGAGACCUAGGAGUUGGCCUUAGACCUCCUUCCGCCUUCACUGCUGCCGCCUCCUGUCAUCAUCGAGGGCCGUCAGUUCUACCUUCUAAACAUCUCUGGAUUCUCACCAUCGCUGCCACACACCAUGCCACCUGCCCUCAUUUGCCUCGGAGGAGUGACCAGAGCAAAAGUUCUCAAAUGCAAGUCUAACCAUGGUACCCCUGUGACGUGUCCUGUGUGCUCACACUGCUUCUGGGACAAGUAAAACCCUUGAUGUUCUGGUCCUUGAUUAAGUCUUGGGCAUCUUGCCUAGACCCCUUUAUGUGUCUUCAUAUGCCAGAGGACUACAGAGCUGGAUUGUAACUGCUUGUGUAAUGAAAGCACCUGUACACGAGAAUGCCUGUUCUCUGAUGUUGGGGUUUAUGCCUCCGGCUAUCCCGCCCUAGCCCAGCAGAGUGCCCUGUGAAGACAGGGCUGCUGAGAAUGGGAGUAAAGGAUUGCAGUUGGGGUCAAAAAUGAGGGUUCCACUACUCACACUCCUGUGUCACCUUGAGAAAACACUUCCCCCUCGGGUUUCCCAUAUGUAAAAUGGAUGCAAUCA